This 2906-nucleotide ribosomal RNA is filed under the name Citrobacter freundii. Its description in RNAcentral is "23S ribosomal RNA". It matches the Rfam family "Bacterial large subunit ribosomal RNA". Lineage: Bacteria; Pseudomonadati; Pseudomonadota; Gammaproteobacteria; Enterobacterales; Enterobacteriaceae. The record is from RNAcentral. RNAcentral also lists the same sequence under 1 other name.
GGUUAAGCGACUAAGCGUACACGGUGGAUGCCCUGGCAGUCAGAGGCGAUGAAGGACGUGCUAAUCUGCGAUAAGCGUCGGUAAGGUGAUAUGAACCGUUAUAACCGGCGAUUUCCGAAUGGGGAAACCCAGUGUGUUUCGACACACUAUCAUUACGUGAAUACAUAGCGUAAUGAAGCGAACCGGGGGAACUGAAACAUCUAAGUACCCCGAGGAAAAGAAAUCAACCGAGAUUCCCCCAGUAGCGGCGAGCGAACGGGGAGCAGCCCAGAGUCUGAAUCAGCUUGUGUGUUAGUGGAACGGUCUGGAAAGUCCGACGGUACAGGGUGAUAGUCCCGUACACCAAAAUGCACAGGUUGUGAACUCGAAGAGUAGGGCGGGACACGUGGUAUCCUGUCUGAAUAUGGGGGGACCAUCCUCCAAGGCUAAAUACUCCUGACUGACCGAUAGUGAACCAGUACCGUGAGGGAAAGGCGAAAAGAACCCCGGCGAGGGGAGUGAAAAAGAACCUGAAACCGUGUACGUACAAGCAGUGGGAGCCUCUUUAUGGGGUGACUGCGUACCUUUUGUAUAAUGGGUCAGCGACUUAUAUUCUGUAGCAAGGUUAACCGUAUAGGGGAGCCGAAGGGAAACCGAGUCUUAACUGGGCGUUAAGUUGCAGGGUAUAGACCCGAAACCCGGUGAUCUAGCCAUGGGCAGGUUGAAGGUUGGGUAACACUAACUGGAGGACCGAACCGACUAAUGUUGAAAAAUUAGCGGAUGACUUGUGGCUGGGGGUGAAAGGCCAAUCAAACCGGGAGAUAGCUGGUUCUCCCCGAAAGCUAUUUAGGUAGCGCCUCGUGAACUCAUCUUCGGGGGUAGAGCACUGUUUCGGCUAGGGGGUCAUCCCGACUUACCAACCCGAUGCAAACUGCGAAUACCGAAGAAUGUUAUCACGGGAGACACACGGCGGGUGCUAACGUCCGUCGUGAAGAGGGAAACAACCCAGACCGCCAGCUAAGGUCCCAAAGUCAUGGUUAAGUGGGAAACGAUGUGGGAAGGCACAGACAGCCAGGAUGUUGGCUUAGAAGCAGCCAUCAUUUAAAGAAAGCGUAAUAGCUCACUGGUCGAGUCGGCCUGCGCGGAAGAUGUAACGGGGCUAAACCAUGCACCGAAGCUGCGGCAGCGACACUAUGUGUUGUUGGGUAGGGGAGCGUUCUGUAAGCCGUUGAAGGUGGCCUGUGAGGGUUGCUGGAGGUAUCAGAAGUGCGAAUGCUGACAUAAGUAACGAUAAUGCGGGUGAAAAACCCGCACGCCGGAAGACCAAGGGUUCCUGUCCAACGUUAAUCGGGGCAGGGUGAGUCGACCCCUAAGGCGAGGCCGAAAGGCGUAGUCGAUGGGAAACAGGUUAAUAUUCCUGUACUUGGUGUUACUGCGAAGGGGGGACGGAGAAGGCUAUGUUAGCCGGGCGACGGUUGUCCCGGUUUAAGCAUGUAGGCGGAGGUUCCAGGUAAAUCCGGUACCUUUUAACGCUGAGGUGUGAUGACGAGGCACUACGGUGCUGAAGUAACAAAUGCCCUGCUUCCAGGAAAAGCCUCUAAGCAUCAGGUAACACGAAAUCGUACCCCAAACCGACACAGGUGGUCAGGUAGAGAAUACCAAGGCGCUUGAGAGAACUCGGGUGAAGGAACUAGGCAAAAUGGUGCCGUAACUUCGGGAGAAGGCACGCUGAUAUGUAGGUGAAGUGAUUUACUCAUGGAGCUGAAAUCAGUCGAAGAUACCAGCUGGCUGCAACUGUUUAUUAAAAACACAGCACUGUGCAAACACGAAAGUGGACGUAUACGGUGUGACGCCUGCCCGGUGCCGGAAGGUUAAUUGAUGGGGUUAUCCGUAAGGAGAAGCUCUUGAUCGAAGCCCCGGUAAACGGCGGCCGUAACUAUAACGGUCCUAAGGUAGCGAAAUUCCUUGUCGGGUAAGUUCCGACCUGCACGAAUGGCGUAAUGAUGGCCAGGCUGUCUCCACCCGAGACUCAGUGAAAUUGAACUCGCUGUGAAGAUGCAGUGUACCCGCGGCAAGACGGAAAGACCCCGUGAACCUUUACUAUAGCUUGACACUGAACACUGGUCCUUGAUGUGUAGGAUAGGUGGGAGGCUUUGAAGUGUGGACGCCAGUCUGCAUGGAGCCAUCCUUGAAAUACCACCCUUUAAUGGCUGGUGUUCUAACGUGGACCCGUAAUCCGGGUUGCGGACAGUGUCUGGUGGGUAGUUUGACUGGGGCGGUCUCCUCCUAAAGAGUAACGGAGGAGCACGAAGGUUAGCUAAUCCUGGUCGGACAUCAGGAGGUUAGUGCAAAGGCAUAAGCUAGCUUGACUGCGAGAGUGACGGCUCGAGCAGGUGCGAAAGCAGGUCUUAGUGAUCCGGUGGUUCUGAAUGGAAGGGCCAUCGCUCAACGGAUAAAAGGUACUCCGGGGAUAACAGGCUGAUACCGCCCAAGAGUUCAUAUCGACGGCGGUGUUUGGCACCUCGAUGUCGGCUCAUCACAUCCUGGGGCUGAAGUAGGUCCCAAGGGUAUGGCUGUUCGCCAUUUAAAGUGGUACGCGAGCUGGGUUUAGAACGUCGUGAGACAGUUCGGUCCCUAUCUGCCGUGGGCGCUGGAGAAUUGAGGGGGGCUGCUCCUAGUACGAGAGGACCGGAGUGGACGCAUCACUGGUGUUCGGGUUGUCAUGCCAAUGGCAUUGCCCGGUAGCUAAAUGCGGAAGAGAUAAGUGCUGAAAGCAUCUAAGCACGAAACUUGCCCCGAGAUGAGUUCUCCCUGAGACUAUAAGUCUCCUGAAGGAACGUUAAAGACGAUGACGUUGAUAGGUCGGGUGUGUAAGUGUAGCGAUACAUUGAGCUAACCGAUACUAAUGAACCGUGAGGCUUAACCUU